AUUGAACGCUGGCGGCAUGCUUUACACAUGCAAGUCGAACGGCAGCGAGGAGAAGCUUGCUUCUCUGUCGGCGAGUGGCGAACGGGUGAGUAUAGCAUCUGAACGUGCCAAGUUGUGGGGGAUAACCAAACGAAAGUUUGGCUAAUACCGCGUAAGCUCUAAGGAGGAAAGUAGGGGACCUAAAUAAGGCCUUACGCUAUUUGAUCGGCCGAUGUCGGAUUAGCUAGUUGGUGGGGUAAUGGCUCACCAAGGCAAUGAUCCGUAGCGGGUCUGAGAGGACGAUCCGCCACACUGGGACUGAGACACGGUCCAGACUCCUACGGGAGGCAGCAGUGGGGAAUUUUGGACAAUGGGGGAAAGCCUGAUCCAGCCAUGCCGCGUGUAUGAAGAAGGCCUUAGGGUUGUAAAGUACUUUUGUUAGGGAAGAAAAGCUAGUUUUUAAUAAAAAUUAGUGAUGACGGUACCUAAAGAAUAAGCACCGGCUAACUACGUG
RNAcentral lists this ribosomal RNA (493 nucleotides) under uncultured bacterium. RNAcentral's name for it is "partial 16S ribosomal RNA". It matches the Rfam family "Bacterial small subunit ribosomal RNA", at positions 30 to 507 of the family's 1533-position model. The record is from RNAcentral.